GGUCCGUUGGUCAAGGGGUUAAGACACCGCCUUUUCACGGCGGUAACACGGGUUCGAAUCCCGUACGGACUAUUU
This 75-nucleotide transfer RNA is filed under the name Streptococcus pneumoniae. Its description in RNAcentral is "tRNA-Glu". It matches the Rfam family "tRNA". From Rfam's summary of the family: Transfer RNA (tRNA) molecules are approximately 80 nucleotides in length. Their secondary structure includes four short double-helical elements and three loops (D, anti-codon, and T loops). Further hydrogen bonds mediate the characteristic L-shaped molecular structure. tRNAs have two regions of fundamental functional importance: the anti-codon, which is responsible for specific mRNA codon recognition, and the 3' end, to which the tRNAs corresponding amino acid is attached (by aminoacyl-tRNA synthetases). tRNAs cope with the degeneracy of the genetic code in two manners: having more than one tRNA (with a specific anti-codon) for a particular amino acid; and 'wobble' base-pairing, i.e. permitting non-standard base-pairing at the 3rd anti-codon position. The record is from RNAcentral. RNAcentral also lists the same sequence under 11 other names. Lineage: Bacteria; Bacillati; Bacillota; Bacilli; Lactobacillales; Streptococcaceae.